Long non-coding RNA from Branchiostoma belcheri (Belcher's lancelet), 318 nucleotides. RefSeq lists it as uncharacterized. The record is from RefSeq and is a predicted model, not a curated record. The transcript has 5 exons. Lineage: Eukaryota; Metazoa; Chordata; Leptocardii; Amphioxiformes; Branchiostomatidae.
CAACAUGGAGAGACAAUUCGCAUCCCGGGUACAGAAGGAGCUAGCCGCCCUGAGGAAGUCCCCUCCUGUCGGUAUCCAGGUGUCGCUACCUUCAGACGACCUGCAUGUGUGGGAGGCUGUCAUCCCGGGGCCACAGGACUCUCUGUACAAAGGAGGGAAGUUCAAGAUUCAGAUACUUCUUCCCGAAAACUACCCCCUUGGGCCUCCAAUCGUGCGCUUCAUCACGCCGAUCUACCACCUGAACGUGAGUCAGACUAGCGGCCAGGUGUGUCUCCGCUUCCUGGCUGAAGAUGAGUGGGUGGCAGGAGGAACCAUUGA